UCCGUAGGUGAACCUGCGGAAGGAUCAUUACCUAGUUGACCCGACGAUAGUCGAGGAACAACAAGCGAGAGCUUCGGCUCGAGCUGGAGUCGCUAACUUCGCAAGAAGUUAGAGUGACUCUCUGCUGCGCAGAACUAGUGGCAGUCUUCUCGCUAAGACUGGCGCGACUAGUGUGGUAUUCGUGUAGCGCUGUUACACGUCUAUCGAAACAACCAAACCAAAUCUAAACUUAACAAAAGUUAACCACUUGAACCACUGUUAGCGGCGGAUCACUUGGCUGACGGGUCGAUGAAGAACGUAGCAAACUACGUUAAUCAGUGUAAACUGCACAAUAGCAGAACACUUGAACUUCGAACGCACAUUGCGGCUAAAGGGUAACUCCUCUAGCCUUAUCUGCGUGAGGGCUGUAUAGAGAUAUUGAACCCAUGUGUAGGGAGUGAUCACUUGAACGUGAGACUCCGCAGAGUGAACCUCGCUAGUGGUCUCUGACUGCUGGACGGUCUCAGGGGCAGGGGCAAGGACCCGGCGGGGGGUUAGGCGAAGGGUGGACUAUCACUCAGGUCACACAAACACAUCUACAACAGCCUCACGUCAGGUAAGAUCACCCGCUGAACUUAA
RNAcentral lists this ribosomal RNA (618 nucleotides) under uncultured fungus. Its description in RNAcentral is "eukaryotic LSU rRNA". The stretch from base 254 to 407 matches the Rfam family "5.8S ribosomal RNA". The record is from RNAcentral. Lineage: Eukaryota; Fungi.